AUGAUAUGUUUUUUUGCUUUGCACAUGCAGGAUGCCUUUAAUCAAAAGGAUUGCUUUAGUCAACCCAUAAGAUUGAUUCAUUACCUUGGAGUCCCAGAGGAAUUUUGUGUAGCAUGUUCUUCAGCUGAGCGACUACUUCAUCGGCCAAACACCCGGCUCUGCUGCAAAGAUGUCCACUGUCCAAGACCCGUGCGUAUCAUUAUUCUCCCUGUCUGUGCCGCGCAACAGCAGUUUCCUGCAGCCCUGCCUCCAUCAGCUUCUCCCUCUUCCUUGCAAUCGGUGAGUUUAGCAUACAAGCUUCAGAUUGAUAAGCUCCUAUGUACUGCUGUUCUAGACAAACAAUGA
This 345-nucleotide ribosomal RNA is filed under the name Triticum aestivum (bread wheat). Its description in RNAcentral is "partial small subunit ribosomal RNA". The record is from RNAcentral. Lineage: Eukaryota; Viridiplantae; Streptophyta; Magnoliopsida; Poales; Poaceae.